AGUGUUACUCUUAGUAAUUGGUGGUUCGGUCACUGACUUGGGCGUUGGAGUGCGAUCGGCCGCAGCGGCGCCGUUCUGUUCUUUUGCAGGUUCUUGAGGUGGAUCGCGGCGAAGGACGGAGGCAAGCGCGGCGCAUACGUCGAUCCAAGUUUGACGAGGCAAAGCUCCAGCGUUCUGGUCAACAGGCAAGAUCAUCAGGCGCCCACCGUGGGGCCGUGUAAAACCUGUUCNNN
RNAcentral lists this long non-coding RNA (233 nucleotides) under Phaseolus vulgaris (common bean). Its description in RNAcentral is "long non-coding RNA (PVUL_LNC004943)". Lineage: Eukaryota; Viridiplantae; Streptophyta; Magnoliopsida; Fabales; Fabaceae. The record is from RNAcentral.